ACGGGCAUAUAACGUUGAAACACCAGUUCUUGUACGAUCACUGAAGUUAAGCAACGUGGAGACUGGUCAGUACCUUGAUGGGUGACACCUUGAGAAUACCAGGUGCUGUA
This is a non-coding RNA of Acanthosepion pharaonis, 110 nucleotides long. Lineage: Eukaryota; Metazoa; Mollusca; Cephalopoda; Sepiida; Sepiidae. The record is from the annotation of a GenBank genome assembly.